AGUGAACGCUGGCGGUAGGCCUAACACAUGCAAGUCGAACGGUAGCACAGUAAGAGCUUGCUCUUACGGGUGGCGAGUGGCGGACGGGUGAGGAAUACAUCGGAAUCUACUUUUUCGUGGGGGAUAACGUAGGGAAACUUACGCUAAUACCGCAUACGACCUACGGGUGAAAGCAGGGGAUCUUCGGACCUUGCGCGAUUGAAUGAGCCGAUGUCGGAUUAGCUAGUUGGCGGGGUAAAGGCCCACCAAGGCGACGAUCCGUAGCUGGUCUGAGAGGAUGAUCAGCCACACUGGAACUGAGACACGGUCCAGACUCCUACGGGAGGCAGCAGUGGGGAAUAUUGGACAAUGGGCGCAAGCCUGAUCCAGCCAUACCGCGUGGGUGAAGAAGGCCUUCGGGUUGUGAAGCCCUUUUGUUUGGAAAGAAAAGCAGCAGGUUAAUACCCCGCUGUUCUGACGGUACCCAAAGAAUAAGCACCGGCUAACUUCGUG
Molecule: ribosomal RNA, 492 nt
Filed under: uncultured bacterium
Lineage: Bacteria
Description: partial 16S ribosomal RNA
Rfam family: Bacterial small subunit ribosomal RNA
Source: RNAcentral